GACGAACGCUGGCGGCGUGCCUAAUACAUGCAAGUAGAACGCUGAAGAGAGGAGCUUGCUCUUCUUGGAAGAGUUGCGAACGGGUGAGUAACGCGUAGGUAACCUGCCUUGUAGCGGGGGAUAACUAUUGGAAACGAUAGCUAAUACCGCAUAACAAUGGAUGACCCAUGUCAUUUAUUUGAAAGGGGCAACUGCUCCACUACAAGAUGGACCUGCGUUGUAUUAGCUAGUAGGUGAGGUAACGGCUCACCUAGGCGACGAUACAUAGCCGACCUGGGAGGGUGAUCGGCCACACUGGGACUGAGACACGGCCCAGACUCCUACGGGAGGUAGCAGUAGGGAAUCUUCGGCAAUGGGGGCAACCCUGACCGAGCAACGCCGCGUGAGUGAAGAAGGUUUUCGGAUCGUAAAGCUCUGUUGUAAGUCAAGAACGAGUGUGAGAGUGGAAGGUUCACACUGUGACGGUAGCUUACCAGAAAGGGACGGCUAACUACGUGCCAGCAGCCGCCGUAA
Molecule: ribosomal RNA, 513 nt
Filed under: uncultured bacterium
Lineage: Bacteria
Description: partial 16S ribosomal RNA
Rfam family: Bacterial small subunit ribosomal RNA
Source: RNAcentral